GGAAGAUCCAGCCCUGAGCAAAAGGCACUUGGAAUCGACAUGGGGGGCUCGAAUGUCCCUGUGAAACAUAAACAUAAGGAGGCAGGAGACAUGAGAUGCAGCCGGCUCUGACCCCAAAGAGCCAUGGGACCUGACCACCUGGGAGGAGCUGGAGGACAAAGGACUUCACAGAAGAAUGGAGUCCCAAAGAAACAGCUUCAGGAACUGAGGAGAGCCAGAAAUUUAAUGUAUUUAGGGCUCCCUUGUGAAAACACAAAAACAAAAAUAAAAAUGCCUCCCGC
Molecule: long non-coding RNA, 281 nt
Filed under: Homo sapiens (human)
Lineage: Eukaryota; Metazoa; Chordata; Mammalia; Primates; Hominidae
Description: non-protein coding lnc-FOXD1-3:9
Source: RNAcentral